AUCUGUUAAUGAAGGGCAAUCUAUUACCAACGAUCCAUUGUGAUCAAUGAUCAUCAUCCUCUACCUGAUCAACCUAAUUAUCCUCUUCCUCACCAACCGAUCAUUAUCCUCUUCUUCAUCAACCUUUACCUCAUCUUUAUCCUAUAUAUCGUUGAGUCUAUAUUUUACUGAUUUUUGAUAGCUCAACAUCAUUCUCUUAUGUACAUGUUAUAACAAAAACAAAUGGCUCACGAUAUUGCUAAAGAGUAAAAAAAAAAUGUUCAACCGCUUAUGCAUGAAAUGCAUUGUGCUUAAUCAAAACAUGGCUUUUAACAGUAAUCAAAACAUGGUUUUAAUGACCCGUCUCCAUGGAGCGGUGGUUACCGAAGCUUCCUCAGCCUUCUAUCUACAAACCCACCCAACUUUAGACCCGUCGUCACCCAUCU
This is a long non-coding RNA of Arabidopsis thaliana (thale cress), 425 nucleotides long. RefSeq annotates it as other RNA. NCBI's taxonomy places the organism in Eukaryota, Viridiplantae, Streptophyta, Magnoliopsida, Brassicales, Brassicaceae. The transcript has a single exon. The record is from RefSeq.